Molecule: non-coding RNA, 21 nt
Filed under: Arabidopsis thaliana (thale cress)
Lineage: Eukaryota; Viridiplantae; Streptophyta; Magnoliopsida; Brassicales; Brassicaceae
Source: RNAcentral
UAUCCCUCUCAUACUGCUUAC